AGUGAACGCUGGCGGUAGGCCUAACACAUGCAAGUCGAACGGCAGCACAGUAAGAGCUUGCCCUUACGGGUGGCGAGUGGCGGACGGGUGAGGAAUACAUCGGAAUCUACUUUUUCGUGGGGGAUAACGUAGGGAAACUUACGCUAAUACCGCAUACGACCUACGGGUGAAAGCAGUGGAUCUUCGGACCUUGCGCGAUUGAAUGAGCCGAGGUCGGAUUAGCUAGUUGGCGGGGUAAAGGCCCACCAAGGCGACGAUCCGUAGCUGGUCUGAGAGGAUGAUCAGCCACACUGGAACUGAGACACGGUCCAGACUCCUACGGGAGGCAGCAGUGGGGAAUAUUGGACAAUGGGCGCAAGCCUGAUCCAGCCAUACCGCGUGGGUGAAGAAGGCCUUCGGGUUGUAAAGCCCUUUUGUUGGGAAAGAAAAGCAGCAGGUUAAUACCCCGCUGUUCUGACGGUACCCAAAGAAUAAGCACCGGCUAACUUCGUG
Molecule: ribosomal RNA, 492 nt
Filed under: uncultured bacterium
Lineage: Bacteria
Description: partial 16S ribosomal RNA
Rfam family: Bacterial small subunit ribosomal RNA
Source: RNAcentral